CUGUGCUCCGGCAUAGGCCCGCGUGUCGGGGUUCAGCGGUUCCGGGGCUGCCGUGGCCCCGACCCUCGUGGCUGCGACCUGAGCGCCCAAACACCGGCGCAUGGAGGGGGCCACGGAGAGAGCGUUGCAGGGGGCCUCUCCCGGUAACUCGCAGGGGGCUGCACCCGCUGUAGCACUGGCCUCGGUGCUCAAGCACAGCUCCGAGUUGCCGCUGGAGAGCGCCCAGGUUCGGGGUUACGACUUCAGCCCUGGGGUGGAUUACCGCGCACUUCUGGAGGCCUUUGGUACCACGGGCUUCCAGGCCACCAACUUUGGGCGGGCGGUGCAGCAAGUCAACGCCAUGAUUGAGAAGAAACUGGAGCCGCUAGCAGAGGAUGAAGACCACCACGCAGACCUGACACAGAGCAGCCGGCCACUCACGGGCUGCACUAUUUUCCUAGGCUACACAUCCAACCUCAUCAGUUCCGGCCUCCGGGAGACCAUUCGCUACCUCGUGCAGCACAAUAUGGUGGACGUAUUGGUGACCACUGCUGGAGGUGUAGAGGAAGACUUCAUCAAGUGCUUGGCACCCACAUACCUUGGGGAGUUCAGCCUCAAGGGGAAGGAGCUCUGGGAGAAUGGGAUUAACAGGAUAGGGAACCUGCUGGUGCCCAAUGACAAUUACUGCAAGUUUGAGGACUGGCUGAUGCCCAUUCUGGACCAGAUGGUGCUGGAGCAGAACACCAAGCAUGUCGAGUGGACACCUUCCAAGAUGAUUGCCAGGCUUGGCAAGGAGAUCAACAACCCAGAGUCAGUGUAUUAUUGGGCCCAGAAGAACAAUAUUCCUGUUGCUGAGCCCUGCACUCACGGAUGGCUCCUUGGACGACAGGAGCUUCUUCCAUUCCUACAAGAAUCCUGGCUUGGUCCUCGACAUCGUUGAGGACCUGCGGUUCAUCAACAUGCAGGCCAUCUUUGCCAAGUGCUCUGGGAUGAUCAUCCUGGGUGGAGGCAUGGUCAAGCACCACAUUGCCAACGCUAACCUCAUGAGGAAUGGGGCCGACUAUGCCGUCUAUAUCAACACGGCCCAGGAGUUUGAUGGCUCGGAUUCAGGUGCCCGGCCAGAUGAAGCUGUCUCUUGGGGCAAGAUCCGGAUGGAUGCACAGCCAGUCAAGGUGUAUGCUGAUGCUACCCUGGUCUUCCCUCUGCUUGUGGCCGAAACCUUCGAAAAGAAGUAUUCCCCUCAACAGUUGUGUAAACUACCAUUCCAUAAGUUAUUUUAG
Molecule: RNA transcript, 1259 nt
Organism: Nannospalax galili (Upper Galilee mountains blind mole rat)
Lineage: Eukaryota; Metazoa; Chordata; Mammalia; Rodentia; Spalacidae
Gene name: deoxyhypusine synthase pseudogene
Exons: 2
Source: RefSeq, a predicted model, not a curated record